Molecule: ribosomal RNA, 497 nt
Filed under: uncultured bacterium
Lineage: Bacteria
Description: partial 16S ribosomal RNA
Rfam family: Bacterial small subunit ribosomal RNA
Source: RNAcentral
GAUGAACGCUGGCGGCGUGCCUAAUACAUGCAAGUCGAGCGAACGGACGAGAAGCUUGCUUCUCUGAUGUUAGCGGCGGACGGGUGAGUAACACGUGGAUAACCUACCUAUAAGACUGGGAUAACUUCGGGAAACCGGAGCUAAUACCGGAUAAUAUUUUGAACCGCAUGGUUCAAAAGUGAAAGACGGUCUUGCUGUCACUUAUAGAUGGAUCCGCGCUGCAUUAGCUAGUUGGUAAGGUAACGGCUUACCAAGGCAACGAUGCAUAGCCGACCUGAGAGGGUGAUCGGCCACCCUGGAACUGAGACACGGUCCAGACUCCUACGGGAGGCAGCAGUAGGGAAUCUUCCGCAAUGGGCGAAAGCCUGACUGAGCAACGCCGCGUGAGUGAUGAAGGUCUUCGGAUCGUAAAACUCUGUUAUUAGGGAAGAACAUAUGUGUAAGUAACUGUGCACAUCUUGACGGUACCUAAUCAGAAAGCCACGGCUAACUACGUG